RNAcentral lists this ribosomal RNA (254 nucleotides) under uncultured bacterium. RNAcentral's name for it is "partial 16S ribosomal RNA". It matches the Rfam family "Bacterial small subunit ribosomal RNA", at positions 524 to 776 of the family's 1533-position model. The record is from RNAcentral.
UACGUAGGCAGCAAGCGUUGUUCGGAGUUACUGGGCGUAAAGGGUGUGUAGGCGGUUGUUUAAGUUUGGUGUGAAAUCUCCCGGCUCAACUGGGAGGGUGCGCCGAAUACUGAAUGACUAGAGUGCGGGAGAGGAAAGUGGAAUUCCUGGUGGUAGCGGUGAAAUGCGUAGAUAUCAGGAGGAACACCGGUGGUGUAGACGGCUUUCUGGACCGUAACUGACGCUGAGACACGAAAGCGUGGGUAGCAAACAGG